UUGGUGCAAAAAUCAUCAGUUUCUUGUCC
This 29-nucleotide non-coding RNA is filed under the name Mus musculus (house mouse). Lineage: Eukaryota; Metazoa; Chordata; Mammalia; Rodentia; Muridae. The record is from RNAcentral.